RNAcentral lists this ribosomal RNA (472 nucleotides) under Clostridioides difficile. RNAcentral describes it as "bacterial SSU rRNA". It matches the Rfam family "Bacterial small subunit ribosomal RNA", at positions 1 to 500 of the family's 1533-position model. Lineage: Bacteria; Bacillati; Bacillota; Clostridia; Peptostreptococcales; Peptostreptococcaceae. The record is from RNAcentral.
UUAUUUGAGAGUUUGAUCCUGGCUCAGGAUGAACGCUGGCGGCGUGCCUAACACAUGCAAGUUGAGCGAUUUACUUCGGUAAAGAGCGGCGGACGGGUGAGUAACGCGUGGGUAACCUACCCUGUACACACGGAUAACAUACCGAAAGGUAUGCUAAUACGGGAUAAUAUAUUUGAGAGGCAUCUCUUGAAUAUCAAAGGUGAGCCAGUACAGGAUGGACCCGCGUCUGAUUAGCUAGUUGGUAAGGUAACGGCUUACCAAGGCGACGAUCAGUAGCCGACCUGAGAGGGUGAUCGGCCACAUUGGAACUGAGACACGGUCCAAACUCCUACGGGAGGCAGCAGUGGGGAAUAUUGCACAAUGGGCGAAAGCCUGAUGCAGCAACGCCGCGUGAGUGAUGAAGGCCUUCGGGUCGUAAAACUCUGUCCUCAAGGAAGAUAAUGACGGUACUUGAGGAGGAAGCCCCGGCUAA